CCUCAGGCUCUUUAAGUGCCUGAGUUGCUUGCAUGUUAUUUUUCCCUGUGGUGAAAGCAACAGGCACAUCAAAGCAGGUCCCAGGACUCGUCACUAGAAAGGCAUCUGGCCCCAGCACACGACAUGCUACAGAAGAAAAUCCUGCCAUAGCAUCCUCCUCACAGCACCAACAAGGAUGCCCAAAUCUCCUGAGACACAAAGCACACAUCAUAUGGCCAAGAGCCACAGCACACCCCCACACACCUUGGACAGCUGACAGCUGAGGCAGAUCCAGAAGUGGUGAAGAUGAUUCACAAAAUGGAAGACUGACAUUCACAACUCUCCAGGCUCCUGCUCCGACCCAAGCUAACUGCAGCUGGCCAGCACAACGUGGGGGCAAUUUCAGCACGCUCAUCUGGUCUGCCUUGUCCACACCCAGAGAAACAGAUUAUUCAGCAGCCCCCACUACCACAGGCUCUUUUGAGGGGCUACAUUUGGACUGUUCAAAGCUAUAAAAGAUUCAGCAACCAGCAA
This 513-nucleotide long non-coding RNA is filed under the name Gallus gallus (chicken). RNAcentral describes it as "lncRNA (ENSGALG00010009889.1)". The record is from RNAcentral. Lineage: Eukaryota; Metazoa; Chordata; Aves; Galliformes; Phasianidae.